GACGAACGCUGGCGGCGUGCCUAAUACAUGCAAGUCGAACGCUGAAGGAGGAGCUUACUUCUCUGGAUGAGUUGCGAACGGGUGAGUAACGCGUAGGUAACCUGCCUGGUAGCGGGGGAUAACUAUUGGAAACGAUAGCUAAUACCGCAUAAGAGUAGAUGUUGCAUGACAUUUGCUUAAAAGGUGCAAUUGCAUCACUACCAGAUGACCUGCGUUGUAUUAGCUAGUUGGUGGGGUAACGGCUUACCAAGGCGACGAUACAUAGCCGACCUGAGAGGGUGAUCGGCCACACUGGGACUGAGACACGGCCCAGACUCCUACGGGAGGCAGCAGUAGGGAAUCUUCGGCAAUGGACGGAAGUCUGACCGAGCAACGCCGCGUGAGUGAAGAAGGGUUUCGGAUCGUAAAGCUCUGUUGUAAGAGAAGAACGAGUGUGAGAGUGGAAAGUUCACACUGUGACGGUAGCUUACCAGAAAGGGACGGCUAACUACGUG
Molecule: ribosomal RNA, 494 nt
Filed under: uncultured bacterium
Lineage: Bacteria
Description: partial 16S ribosomal RNA
Rfam family: Bacterial small subunit ribosomal RNA
Source: RNAcentral